This is a long non-coding RNA of Homo sapiens (human), 4879 nucleotides long. RefSeq lists it as uncharacterized. NCBI's taxonomy places the organism in Eukaryota, Metazoa, Chordata, Mammalia, Primates, Hominidae. The record is from RefSeq and is a predicted model, not a curated record. The transcript has 2 exons.
GGAGCUCAGGCACAUAACUCUCGGAAUCAGUAGCAACGUAGACCGACUGGGCAUCCAGCGACCUCACCCAGAGCUUCACAGCCCUCUGGAUCUCCUUCAGGUCAGGCAGGCACAUAGUCAUCGUGAGGGGGGCCGCUGUGCUGCGGCUGUAGCCCACACACUGCGGAGAGGCCAUGAAGUGCGAGCCUGCAGUCCCGUCCUUCAGCAUGGCACAGGCGUUCUUCUACGGAGAGCGGGGAACAGGGUUAAAUACUGGCAACUGCCCUGGAACCCCAGAAGCAAGACCUGGUAAAUCAAGGUGACCAUCUAUAUUGAUUCUGUUAUUUUCACACAGAGGUGAAAACCUCAUUGGAAUACAAGGAUUCUGCACAUUUAAACAGCCUCCAAAUUCUGUUAGGAUGACAUCUUCAUUUCUUGGGAGCCAUGCCUCAUCUCCACAGUCAGUUUUUCAACACGGAGUCUACCAGCCAGACACUGAGCUAGGACAGGGGACUCCUGGACUGUGGCCUCUUUAUGGCUUGCUGCCUGACCUGGGGUCUGGCUUGAUCUCUCAGUUUAUCCAUCUGUAAAAUGAGGAUAAAAACAGCUGCUGCUAAAGUGAGACCUGGCUGGCAGGCACUCUGGAGUUACAUUUUGAUAUGUGCUGCAGUGGGAUGAUGGGACACAAUCCCACGAACCAGAACAAGUGAGAGAUCUCUGCUCUGGCUGGGACGCGGGGCCGAUCCCUACAGGCCAGGGCCAUGCUCAGGGACACAUCCAAGUUAGCCAGUGAGAGAGGAAGGGGGAAGUUACCCAGUCAGAGCCAAUGCGCAGAUGAAUGCCCACAUAGGGCCGGACAAGGUGGGCAUGAAUCUGGGCCUCUCCCGUCUUCACCAUUUCGUCUGACCAUACCAUGUACUUCUGUAGUGGCCUGUGUUCCUCUAGGACGGGGAACUGGGCUGGGGCUCCUGGCAGGGCAAGCACCGGAUGUUCCUUUGGAGAAAAUCUAGACAGGAGAUGGAAUGAGGGAAGUCAGAGGACGCACAGAGAGCCUGGCUGCCACCCCCACGGGAAAAAGGAUGGUGUUGCACCAUGCCCCAGAGACCCUGCGGAGGGGCCCCUGCAACACGCAAGAAACACGAGAGGUUGUGAAAUACCAACGGGCUGAUAAGGAACCUUGGUGGCGGCGGCAACAGGCACAAUAUGCAAUACUGUCCCGCCACAUGGAAUUUACAACCCUCUUUGCUUGUCGAACAAUUAAAACUUUACAGGAGAGCAUUCCAACCUUUUAUAUGUCACACUGGCUUCCAAUCUGCGGUGCAGUAAUUCAUUCCAGGGUGGGGUGUCUGGACCAAGCCUUUGCCCUUUUACCUACAUGGCAGGACUGGGACAUGCAGCUGCUUACAGAAGCAACGGCCAGGUCACACUCACAGGGACUAUGUAUACUGGAUUUGAAUCAUUCAUUCAACAUUUAAAAAACAUUUAUUGAUUGCCUACUAUGUAUUGGGACCUGGAGGAAAACAAGACAGGCAUAGUCCCUGCGCUAUGGAAGGGAGCAGGGGUCUGCAGGUGCCCCUAUCAUGCCCUCCCAAGCCCCUGCUUCCCCCUCAUACACAGUCCAUCUCAUAAUUAUUUCACCUCUGUCCUUGCUGUGGGAAGGCAGUGCUCCAGUAUGCGCAGAAUAGUGUCUGGCACACCCAAGAGCUUGGUAAAUAUUUUUCUUUUCUUUUUCUUUUUUGAGAUAGGAUCUUGCUGUCACCCAGGUGUCACCCAGGCUGGAGGGCAGUGGCGUGAUCUCGGCUCACUGCAAUCUCCGCCUCCAGGCUCAAGGCAAGACCUUCCCAUCUCAGCCUCCUGAGUAGCUGGGACUACAGAUAAGUGCCACCAGGCCCAGCUAAUUUUUUACAUUUUUUUUGUAGAGACGGGGUUUCGCCAUGUUGCCCAGGCUGGUCUCGAACUCCUGGACUCAAGUGAUCUGCCUACUUAGGCCUCCCAGUGUUGGGAUUACAGGUGUGGGCCACCGCGCCCGGUCAAUACUUCUUGACUGAACAAAUGAGGAGCAAACCUGUGUUCCCUCUUCAGCUAAACCCAGACUACCUCUCAGCAGCACGAAACCCCUUGCUGUUCCAUGUUCACAAUGCACUUUCAAGUUCUAGAUCUCUGUAUACUUCUUCCCUCCAGCUGGAGGGGGGAAGUGCCUUCUGCCAGCCAAAAUCCUUUCCUUAAAAGUAUGAAAUGGGAACAGCCAUUCUGGAAAACAGUUUGGCAGUUAGGCAUGCAGUUACAUGACCCAGCAAUUGUACUCUUAGGCAUUUAUUCAAGAAAAAUGAAAACUUAUGUUCACACAAGCCUAUACACCAAUGUCCCUUGCAGCUUUAUUCAUAAAAUAGCCCCCAACUGGAAACAACCCAGACGUCACUCACAAGUAAACAGUUAAACAAACUGCUGUACCUCUGUAUCAUGGAAUAUGAACCCCACCAAAAAAAGGAACACAGUAUCAAUACAGGCAACAAUUUGGAUGAUGUCAAGGGAAUUAUCCUUGGGUCAGGGAGGGUGGGCAAUCUCAAAGGUUAUGUAUUGUAUGGUUCCAUUUAUAUAAACAUUUUAAAACAAUAGCAUGGAGAAGAGAUUAGUAGUUGGCAGAGGUUAGGAAUGGGGUGUAUAUGUUUAGGGAGGUGGGUGUGGUUAUAAACUGGCAACACAAGGAUCCUUGUGAUAAUGGAACUGUUCAGUGUAUUAACUAUAGUAGUGGAUACAUAAACCCACACACGAUAAAACUGCACAGAAAUACACACACACACACACACACACACACAGGCAUGCACUCACACACUCAGAAGUAAGUACAAGAAAACUGAGUAAGAUGGGUAAAUUGUAUCAAUGUCAAUAUCCUGGUUGUGAUACUGUACUAUAGUUUUGCAAAAUGUUACCAUUGGGGGAAAUUGGGUAAAGGGUACAUGGGAGGUUGCUGUCUUAUUUCUUACAACUGCAUGUAAAUGUACAAUGACCUCAAUGAAAAUUUCAAAUAAAAACUAUGAAAUAUUUCAAACCAUCCAGGCAAAUACAGAAAAUAAUUUAAUAAUUUAUAUACCCAUGACCCAAAUCAGCAGAAACUAACUUUGCUUUGUUUCAGGUUUAAAAACAAAACAAAACAAACAAAACAAAAAACACACACCUAAAUACAAGCUCAUCCUGCCAUCAUCCUUCCCAGAGGGUAAUGUGUUUUAAUGUAUGAUUGCACUUUUACUAUAGACAUCAAAAAGGAGGGGAGUGUUCUUCUGCGUGCUUUCUAUGGAGUGGAAUGAUGAAGAUUGUAGGUUAAGCCAGAAUGCUUUGUUCCAAUGUUGACUAUGCCACUAGCUAACUUGGGCAGGUGACUUUACCACUCUGUGCCUUAGCUCCUCAUCCACAUAAUAGAGAUAACAGUUCCCACAUCAUAAAGCUGUUUUUUUGUUGUUGUUUUUGUUUUUUUUCAAUUGUGGUUGGGUGUGGUGGCCACUUCUGUAAUCCCAGCACUUUGGGAGGCUGAGGUGGGCAGAUCACUUGAGCCCAGGAGUUCAAGACCAGCCUGGGGCAACAUGGCAACACCCCAUCUAUCCAAAAAUAUCAAAAAAUUAGCCAAGUGUUGUGGUGUGUGCCUGUGGUCUCAGCUACCUAGGAGGCUACAUGGGAAAAUCGCUUGAGCCUGGAAGGUUGAGGCUGCAGUCAGCCAUGAUCGUGCCACUGCACUCCAGCCAGGGUGGGAGGGUGAGACCUUGUCUCAAAAAAAAUUUAAAAAAGUUGACCGGGCGCGGUGGCUCACGCCUGUAAUCCUAGAACUUUGGGAAGCCAAGGUAGGUGGAUCACGAGGUCGGGAGAUCGAGACCAUCCUGGCUAACACGGCGAAACCCCGUCUCUACUAAAAAUACAAAAAAUUAGCCACACGUCGUGGUGGGCACCUGUAAUCCCAGCUACUUGGGAGGCUGAGGCAGGAGAAUGGCGAACCUGUGAGACAGAGCUUGCAGUGAGCUGAGAUCGUGCCACUGCACUCCAGCCUGGGCAACAGAGCAAGACUCCGUCUCAAAAAAUAAUAAUAAAAAUAAAAAAUAAAAAAAGGUUGUAUAUAUUUACGAUAUACAAUAUGAUAUUUUGAUCUACAUGUAUGUAGUUAAAUGAAUAGUACAGCCAAGCUAAUUAAUAUAUCCAUUUAUAGGGCUACUGAGAGGAUUAAUGUAUUAUCAAAGCAAAGCAUUUAGAACAGUACCUUGGCACACAGAAAGCUCUCAAAGAAUUCUAGCUCUUAUCAUCAUCACAUUGCAUGUAACCUAGUUAAAGGUUACAUAUAAAUCUAAUCAACUUUCUAAAAAUUCAACUUUAUGUUUCAGAGACUUGGCCAUGUUGAUCAUGUGGAUCAUGUGGUUGUAUUAGCUUCUCUAAAAGUUUUCCAUUUUGUACAAAUAAACUGCAAUUUACCUACCUAUUUCCCUCUUGCUAGACAGUGAGGUCGUUCCAAUCUUUCCCUCACACAACAGUGCUGUGACAGACAUGCCACUCAUUCUCCACACCCAACAGAGACUGCUUGCUCAGCAAACACCUUCCACACCUCCAAGGUCAGUCGCAAUUCCCAAGCCUCACCUCCUUAGGGAGUGUUCCCUGUCCCACUUCUCUUGCUGCCUUCUGCACAAUGAUAUGCCCUGCAGCCACUUUCCCUGCCCAUGGAACUGUCAGCUGGUGAGGCUGGGGACCCAAGCAGCCUGUUUGCCAUUGCUCCCACAUACGCUAUCCAAGGCCUGUGUCACUUACACAGGCCUCGGACCAGUGACAAGAAAGUGUUCCUUGAUGGUCCAGCUGUGCGACACUUAUCUUGCUAGACUCUAGUUUUCUUUCCUUUUUUUUUUGAGAUGGAGUCUUGCUCUGUCAC